GCGGAGGAAAAGAAACCAACAGGGAUUGCCCCAGUAACGGCGAGUGAAGCGGCAAGAGCUCAAAUUUGAAAGCUGGCUCCUUCGGGGUCCGCAUUGUAAUUUGUAGAGGAUGCUUCGGGAGCGGUCCCCAUCUAAGUGCCCUGGAACGGGACGUCAUAGAGGGUGAGAAUCCCGUAUGGGAUGGGGUGUCCGCGCCCGUGUGAAGCUCCUUCGACGAGUCGAGUUGUUUGGGAAUGCAGCUCUAAAUGGGUGGUAAAUUUCAUCUAAAGCUAAAUAUUGGCCGGAGACCGAUAGCGCACAAGUAGAGUGAUCGAAAGAUGAAAAGCACUUUGAAAAGAGAGUUAAAAAGCACGUGAAAUUGUUGAAAGGGAAGCGCUUGCGACCAGACUCGCUCGCGGGGUUCAGCCGGCAUUCGUGCCGGUGUACUUCCCCGCGGGCGGGCCAGCGUCGGUUUGGGCGGUCGGUCAAAGGCCCUCGGAAGGUAACGCCCCUAGGGGCGUCUUAUAGCCGAGGGUGCAAUGCGACCUGCCUAGACCGAGGAACGCGCUUCGGCUCGGACGCUGGCAUAAUGGUCGUAAACGACCCGUCUUGAAACACGGACC
This 602-nucleotide ribosomal RNA is filed under the name Penicillium rubens. RNAcentral describes it as "partial large subunit ribosomal RNA". It matches the Rfam family "Eukaryotic large subunit ribosomal RNA", at positions 50 to 667 of the family's 3401-position model. Lineage: Eukaryota; Fungi; Ascomycota; Eurotiomycetes; Eurotiales; Aspergillaceae. The record is from RNAcentral.